UGCAGCCUUGUCAAAUUCAGUGUGUUCUUCUCAGUGGACUUCACUGGCCAAAAUGGCUGCCACAGAAACUGUAGCUCAUGGGCCCCGCCUCCUUACACAGGGGGGCAGUGGGGAUAAUUAUGUUCUACAGACAAAU
Notolabrus celidotus (New Zealand spotty) is the source of this 136-nucleotide small nucleolar RNA. RefSeq annotates it as small nucleolar RNA SNORA5. The record is from RefSeq and is a predicted model, not a curated record. Lineage: Eukaryota; Metazoa; Chordata; Actinopteri; Labriformes; Labridae. The transcript has a single exon.